GCUAAGCCCCUCCCAGUGUGUGAAGCACUCUGAAACACACCCAACUCCAGGCGAUAAUAAUCGCCAGAAAAAGGUUUUAUUAUCAGCAACUUUUCUCAGUGGCAGAAAUGGAGAAGCCCACUUCUACUUCCACCCUAAAGCUCCUCUGGUGCCCAGUUUCUCACUUCCUCAAGUGAAGUAGCCAGACCAGACAUAUCAAAGAGCUACUUGAUGACACACUUCUUCCCUACCACCUGCUGAGGAAGGAGCCUGGCCGCGGGUUCCUAUGAGACCCUAGAAGAAACGACCCUGAUUCUGCCACGUGGGCUUCAUUCUCGAACACUCCCCAGCCCCCACCUCCCCCUGGCGCCUGUGGCGCGGCCAGAAAUUCUGAUUGUCCACCGCCUAUCUGCCUAUGGCGCUAAUAAAGUUCUUACUCCCAGCA
RNAcentral lists this long non-coding RNA (424 nucleotides) under Rattus norvegicus (Norway rat). RNAcentral describes it as "long non-coding RNA NONRATT013024". The record is from RNAcentral. Lineage: Eukaryota; Metazoa; Chordata; Mammalia; Rodentia; Muridae.